GUUUCAAACUCCUGACUUCACGUGACCACCAGCCUCAGCCUCCCAAAGUGCUGGGAUUACAGGCGUGAGCCACCGAGACCAGCCUCACCUCAUUCACUCUUACCUGGACGCCUGACUUUACUUGAGAUACAGGCAUAGUGAUUCUCAGCAGGAAACAGCCUGCCCCCACGUCACGCCCAGAGACCCAUCACUGGCUGCCUGGCUUGGUGACAAAGUCCAUGCAGACGGAGUUUCACCAUGUUGGCCAGGCUGCUUUCGAACUCCCUAUCUCAGGUCAUCUGACUGCCUCAGCCCCCCAGAGUGCUGGGAUUACAGGUGUAAGCUACUGUGCCCAGCCAAAUUUCCUUCCUAAUUUCUUCAUUGAACCACUGGCCAUUCCGGACCAUAUUGUUUAAUUUUCACGUGUAUGUAUAGUUUCCAGAAUUCCUCUUGUUGUUGAUUUCCACUUUUAUUCUGUUGUGGUCAGAGAAGAUGCUUGAUAUUAUUUUAACAUUUGUAAUGUUUUAAGACUUGCUUUGUGACCUAACAUAUGGUGUAUCCUUGAGAAUGAUCCAUGUGCUGAGGAGAAGAAUGUGUAUUCUGCAGACUUUAGACGAAGUGUUCUAUUUCUAAUCAGAAACAUGGAGGCCAGGAAGCAGUGGAGAAUGACGACCCUCAGGCAGCCCUGGAGGAUGCUGUCACAGGCUGGGGC
Homo sapiens (human) is the source of this 691-nucleotide long non-coding RNA. RefSeq lists it as uncharacterized. The record is from RefSeq and is a predicted model, not a curated record. The transcript has 3 exons. NCBI's taxonomy places the organism in Eukaryota, Metazoa, Chordata, Mammalia, Primates, Hominidae.